GCCCUGAGACGGCCCGUCUGCUCACUAGCAGGGCCUCAGAGUGGCUGAGCCCAUUGUCAUCAGCUUGGCCGUUUCUCAGGUGGCAGGGUCUCACCCGUCACUGUGUGCUCACUUGGUGUCAACACUCUGGUGAGAGGAAAGGAGGACCCCCACCCCCAGCCCACAACUCCAGGCAGGCAGAAAGACUUUUCUUCAGCUUUUGGAGACCUUGGGGAGAGAGUAACCCACCCACCCCUCAGACUGUCUGUGGGAACCCCGGGGUGCCCCAGGGUGGGCAGUGCUCCCUAGUCAGGGAUUGCAUGCCACACAAGACAGGCCGGGGUCAUCUGGUCUCCGUGGAGUAGUAGCCGUGACUCCCUUUCCUUCCUGGUACCCUGGAUAAGACACUACCUUCCUUGACGGGUCCUACACAAAUGCGUUGGCCGGAUGUAUGUGAAAGAGCCUUCCAGAAGCUCCAGGACCUCCCUGGGAGGGAGCAUAGCGUCCUCGUCCUGGGCAGCUGGCUCCUGCUCCAUCCAGGCUACUGGAUGCCAUGCUGGGGCCAGAGGUUCUCGAGUGAGGAAUCUGUGGAGGUCGGUGAGAGGCGGGAGCCAGGGUCACAGGGAGGGCUGGCCAAGGCCAGCCGCCCACUGCAGGCCACAGCUGAGGCUCUCCCCACACUGAAGGCUUAGUUUUCUCCUGCAGAGCCAUGCUGUGUAAAUCAGUGCUUGGGUUGAGCAGACUCAAGUCAAAGAGUCCAGCAUUGAGCCCCUUCAGGUGUCUGAAGGCCUGGGCCAGCGUGGAGCAUCACUUGGCCAGUUCUGGGAGCCUCACUGAGGCUGGAGCAGUUGGCCCAAAUGAACUGGGCCCUUCCCCAAAUGUGUUCUGGGAGCAGGUGCUAGAUCUCAUGCCCCAAUGGUGGGGCCCACCUUCCCACAGGGAGGAGGCUGAAGGAAAGCCCAUUACUUGGUUUGGGAAGAGUUAGCCUCCUGUCACGUGCCUCCAACUUUUGACCCAAUUCCUGUCUCCCUGAGGGAAAGCCAGACUGGGAAAGGGUGUGGCUGGUGUCCCAGAGGCCUCCGUCCAGCUGAUGUCCCCUGAUGGAGUCAGGCAGCUCCCUUGUGCUGAGAAAGAGUAUGUCUCAAAUGGGCACCAAGUUCUCCUUCCAGGCGGAUGGCGGUAUCUUGUUCCUCUAUCCCCAAAGGGGCUUUGGAUCUCCCCAGGCCUUCAGACCUCCGGCUUCCGGGCGCCUGUCUCCUCCAGGGUGCCCCCGUGGAUGACUCUGCACCCUCGGGAUACUGGGCAGGGGCCGCCCUUAGAGAACCAGUUUGAAGCCAAAUAGUGUCAUGUCAUAGUCCAUCUGAGCAGGAGGCCACAGCAGGUGAACACAAGUUAGUUCAAGGCCGUGAGUAUCCAUAGGGACCCAGGGCCAGACCAUGGCACGUGUCCAGCAAGCUCCUUCCUGUCGUCCCCUGGGUACGCGGCCUGGCAAAGUGACCCCAAGGGCUCCCUUCUCGCCCUGUGGCCCACCUGCUGGGUCCCUCACCCUGGGGAGUGAAGUGGGGGGAACAGAAUGAGCAGCUACAGCCUUCCUACGAUUCAAUCUGAGUGGCUGUCUAGAACUCACAAGCCUUCUGAGAAGCUCGGUGGGAGGCCCACCCUCCUCCAAAGGGAGGUAAGUGCCCCCAGGUACAGGUGUCUGGGGGGAAGCUGAGGAAAGCCUUGCUGAGCCUCUGCGUGGGACAGGCCCCGGCCCUUCCCUUGAAGAUGGGAAGCCUGAGGCAGGUCCAGCCCUGGGGGGAUGGCCAGGGAAGGGAAGAGCUGGUGGUGGAGGUGAGCCGGAUGGGCGGCGAGCUCUGUGGGCCUCUUCCUAGAAUGGCCCUCACCUUGUGUGCUGGGGCGGGGUGACUAGGUUGGGGGCACUGCCGGAGAACAGUCGGCACCCCUGGCCAGAGCCUGGGAAAGGAACUGGCCGAGGGACAUGCCGUCCGGCCCCUGCAAAGAGCUUCAGAGGAGGAGGCAGCAAAGAGGAAGCCCCCAUGGCCUCUUCCAGCACCCCCACUGCCUGCACACCCACGGGGGGCUCCUCUCCACGAUCCCACAUCAAGGGGUCUGCCAGUCAGGGGGCUCCCCUGGAAACAACCUAAAGCUGCCAUUCACCAUUGGAGUAGCUUUUUACAGUGCACCACGCAGCCAUAUAUCAUCUGUGAUUUUGUGUAAUCUUCACUGCAAGGAGGCCCUUCAGGAGGACACAUGAGACUUAGCUCUCUUGGCAGGUGACAGUUUCUCUUCCCUUGUGUUUGAUGACUGUGGCAGUUCCGAGGACUAUCAGUCAGGAGUUUUGUAUUGAAAUUUGCCUCGUGUUUUUCUCAUGAUUGGACCGGGGCUCUGGGUUUCCAGGAGCAGGAUCACAGAGGACAAGAUGCUCCAGGCUCAUCCUGUAUAUCUCCACCCUCAGUCCUAGAAUCAGCCAUUUCUCAAGAAUCCCUAGUUCCUUUUAUUAGAGAAGAUGGGAAAGUAAAACUUGGGCACUAGCGUUCAGCCCCUGGACCCCUGGCGACAGUCAUCAGCCCUGCAGAAUGAACGAAGGUCAUAUUCUUGAGGGCAGCCUCUCUGGCCUGAGGGAGGUGACGGCAUGAGGUCACUAGACUCCUGAAACCAGAAGAUGGAAGUGGGUGGGGACAAAGGCAGAAGGAAGGAGAGGUGAGCCCCACUGUCCUCCUGCUCAUCAGCUCGUGGCCACAGCAGGUCCCUGGCCUCUCUUGCGUCACUACAAGCCAGUUUCCACAGGGAUCCAGAGCCAUCUCGCUACUGAGUACAUCUGACCUGCUCCCUGCCCUGCUGGUCCUCAGGAUAGAGACCAAAGUCCAGUGACUCGGCCUCUCCAGCCUCCCUCCACCUUUCCCUUCCUCCAUGUGCUUGCUGGGAUCAGCCCUGGCACCUGCCGCCUUCCCAUCAUCCAAACACCCUGCCACGUCCCCCUCUCCACAGCCCUAUUCUCAUAAGAUCGCAGCUCACUGUGUCAUUGUCACUCGCUUCCUAUGUUGAGGUCCGGGGGGUGCAGCCCAGCCACUGGGCACCGCAAGCCUGCUGGUGGGUUGGAUGUUUCUCAGGGGAUGAGGAACGGCCGGUGGGAGCUGUGGAGGGGCCGAGAUCUCCGGGUCUGUCCGAUGGCACCACGCUGCUGACCUGGCCCCAAGCCCUAUAUUCCAUGAGGGAGGACCUGGGUCUGUCCUUCAGGGUCUGACAUGGGAGAGGCUCUUGGGAGGUGUCCAUUGAUUGUCAGAUUGAAUGACUGACUCAGUA
Long non-coding RNA from Canis lupus familiaris (dog), 3285 nucleotides. RefSeq lists it as uncharacterized. The transcript has 6 exons. The record is from RefSeq and is a predicted model, not a curated record. Lineage: Eukaryota; Metazoa; Chordata; Mammalia; Carnivora; Canidae.